UACAGAGGGGGCUAGCGUUGUUCGGAAUUACUGGGCGUAAAGGGCGCGUAGGCGGCCCGCUAAGUCGAACGUGAAAUCCCCAGGCUCAACCCGGGAACUGCGUCCGAUACUGGCGGGCUUGAAUCCGGGAGAGGGAUGUGGAAUUCCAGGUGUAGCGGUGAAAUGCGUAGAUAUCUGGAGGAACACCGGUGGCGAAGGCGGCAUCCUGGACCGGUAUUGACGCUGAGGCGCGAAAGCCAGGGGAGCAAACGGG
Molecule: ribosomal RNA, 253 nt
Filed under: uncultured bacterium
Lineage: Bacteria
Description: partial 16S ribosomal RNA
Rfam family: Bacterial small subunit ribosomal RNA
Source: RNAcentral